RNAcentral lists this long non-coding RNA (1230 nucleotides) under Crocodylus porosus (Australian saltwater crocodile). Its description in RNAcentral is "lncRNA (ENSCPRG00005010598.1)". The record is from RNAcentral. Lineage: Eukaryota; Metazoa; Chordata; Crocodylia; Crocodylidae.
UUUUGUCACAGUCGAACGAAAACGUCCGUUUUGGGGGUUUUUUUUGAUUUCCAAGCCCCUCAUAUUGCUGACGCCUCAACCCCGCGCUGCCCCACUCCCUGCAGGGAGCUCGGGGCACCCCGGGGUGCCGCAGCCCCAACAGGGUGCAGUUCCGCCGCGCAGCCGCAGGGGCCGCUGCGGGGCAGCCGGCUCCGCGCAUGCGUGCAGGGCUGGCGCCUGCACGCUUCGCCCGCCCGCCGGCUCGGCUGAUGCAAUCCCCCAGCUGCGGAGCGAGGCGGAGCAAGGUAGCCAAUCAGCUGGGGCCCGGAUGCUGCGGGAGGCCCCGCCCUACGCUGCGAGCGCUGGUCGAGAGGACGUUUAACGGCUGGCCCGGCGCCGCCGCCAUUUUGGGGCGCUGAGGGGGCUAUGCGGGAGUGGCUGCGCUGAGGGCCCGCCGCGUGCCGCCAUGGAGCCGGGAGCCGCGGGCCCCGCGCCGCCCAGCUCCUGGCUCGGCCUGGCCUGGCAGAAGCUGGCUCCCACCGCCGCGCAGCCCCCGUCGUCGUGGCUGCGGGGUCUGUCUCAGCUGGUGCAGUGGCUGUUGCCGGGCCCGGCGCUGAGCAGCGCCCUGUGCCCCGCCGCGGGGGGGGACCCGCCCGUCCGGCCGCUCCCAGGCUGGGCGCAGACCGAGCUGGGCCCCGAGCCCGGCGCAGUGUGGGGGGGCGGCCUGGCGCGGCCCGCGCUCGCCCUGGGUCUCGUGUCCUACGCGGUGGGGCCCGCGCGGGACUGGAGCCACCUGCCGCAGCCCCUGCGAGCCGAACUGCCGCUGGGCCCCCGCCUCCGCGACGAGCUGCCCGAGAUCCAGCGCCUCCGCAGCAAGCACCUCGAGUUCCUGCAGCAGCACCAGAGACUCCCCGAGCCCGACCAUGGCUACCACAGCCUGGAGGAGGAGCUGAGCCGGGGUAACGUUCCUUGAUGAAGUUACUGAGUAUUAUGUAAGCAGUGAGGAAGACAGGAAAGGACCCUGGGAAGAAUUUGCGCGGGACGGAUGCAGGUUCCAGAAACGUAUUCAAGAAACAGAAGAUGCCAUUGGGUACUGCUUAACAGUAGAGCAUAGACAGAAGAUAUUUAACCUACUCCAGGAAACAUACUCCAGAAAGCCUGAACUUUUCUAGCACCUUAAAGAUGUAGUAGACUUUUGUUAUGUUACUUAUCACUAAUAAACCGUCACAAAUUUCUUGAGAAAUAUUUGUU